GACGAACGCUGGCGGCGUGCUUAACACAUGCAAGUCGAACGGAAAGGCCCUGCUUUUGUGGGGUGCUCGAGUGGCGAACGGGUGAGUAACACGUGAGUAACCUGCCCUUGACUUUGGGAUAACUUCAGGAAACUGGGGCUAAUACCGGAUAGGAGCUCCUGCUGCAUGGUGGGGGUUGGAAAGUUUCGGCGGUUGGGGAUGGACUCGCGGCUUAUCAGCUUGUUGGUGGGGUAGUGGCUUACCAAGGCUUUGACGGGUAGCCGGCCUGAGAGGGUGACCGGCCACAUUGGGGGUGAGAUACGGCCCGGACUGCUACGGGAGGCAGGAGGGGGGAGUGUUGCGCGAUGGGCGGGAGCCUGAUGCAGCAACGCCGGGUGCGGGAUGACGGCCGUCGGGUUGUAAGCCGCUUUCGCCUGUGACGAAGCGUGAGUGACGGUAAUGGGUAAAGAAGCACCGGCUAACUACGUG
This 468-nucleotide ribosomal RNA is filed under the name uncultured bacterium. RNAcentral describes it as "partial 16S ribosomal RNA". It matches the Rfam family "Bacterial small subunit ribosomal RNA", at positions 28 to 507 of the family's 1533-position model. The record is from RNAcentral.